UACAGAGGGUGCGAGCGUUAAUCGGAAUUACUGGGCGUAAAGCGUGCGUAGACGGUUAUGUAAGUCGGGUGUGAAAGCCCCGGGCUCAACCUGGGAAUUGCAUUCGAGACUGCAUAGCUAGGGUGCGGAAGAGGGAAGCGGAAUUUCCGGUGUAGCGGUGAAAUGCGUAGAUAUCGGAAGGAACACCAGUGGCGAAAGCGGCUUCCUGGUCCAGCACCGACGUUCAGGCACGAAAGCGUGGGGAGCAAACAGG
Molecule: ribosomal RNA, 253 nt
Filed under: uncultured bacterium
Lineage: Bacteria
Description: partial 16S ribosomal RNA
Rfam family: Bacterial small subunit ribosomal RNA
Source: RNAcentral